GUGGUAUUAGUCCAGCGGUUAGGAUGUCACGUUGUGGGCGUGACGACCCAGGUUCGAAUGCUGGAUACCACA
Transfer RNA from Vitrella brassicaformis, 72 nucleotides. It matches the Rfam family "tRNA". From Rfam's summary of the family: Transfer RNA (tRNA) molecules are approximately 80 nucleotides in length. Their secondary structure includes four short double-helical elements and three loops (D, anti-codon, and T loops). The record is from Rfam. NCBI's taxonomy places the organism in Eukaryota, Vitrellaceae.